UGGGGAAUAUUGGACAAUGGGGGCAACCCUGAUCCAGCAAUGCCGCGUGUGUGAAGAAGGCCUGAGGGUUGUAAAGCACUUUCAGUGGGGAGGAGGGUUGAUAGGUUAAGAGCUAAUUAACUAGACGUUACCCACAGAAGAAGCACCGGCUAACUCCGUGCCAGCAGCCGCGGUAAUACGGAGGGUGCAAGCGUUAAUCGGAAUUACUGGGCGUAAAGAGUGCGUAGGUGGUAUGGUAAGUUAUCUGUGAAAUUCCUGGGCUUAACCUGGGACGGUCAGAUAAUACUGCUGUACUCGAGUAUGGGAGAGGGUAGUGGAAUUUCCGGUGUAGCGGUGAAAUGCGUAGAGAUCGGAAGGAACACCAGUGGCGAAGGCGGCUACCUGGCCUAAUACUGACACUGAGGCACGAAAGCGUGGGGAGCAAACAGG
This 429-nucleotide ribosomal RNA is filed under the name uncultured bacterium. RNAcentral's name for it is "bacterial SSU rRNA". It matches the Rfam family "Bacterial small subunit ribosomal RNA", at positions 355 to 776 of the family's 1533-position model. The record is from RNAcentral.